Molecule: ribosomal RNA, 370 nt
Filed under: uncultured Alphaproteobacteria bacterium
Lineage: Bacteria; Pseudomonadati; Pseudomonadota; Alphaproteobacteria
Description: partial 16S ribosomal RNA
Rfam family: Bacterial small subunit ribosomal RNA
Source: RNAcentral
GCUUAACACAUGCGAGUCGAAUGUUUCCUCGAACAUGGCGAACGGGUGAGUAAUAUAUAAGAAGUUACCUUUUGGUUCGGGUUAAAAAACCGAAUAUAAAAAAAGAAUAAGUUCGCCAUUAGAUACGCUUAUACAAGAUUAGGUAGUUGGUUAGGUAAAAGCUAACCAAGCCGACGAUCUUUAGUUGAUUUGAAAGAAUGAUCAACCACACUGGGACUGAGACAAGGCCCUGGCUUUUUUUAGAGCCAGCAGUGAGGAAUAUUGGACAAUGAGCGAAAGCUUGAUCCAGUGAUGCUACGUGAGGGAAUACAGCUUAUUGGCUUUAAACCUCUUCUAUUAAGGAAUAUAAUGACUUACUUAAUAAAAAAGU